This 511-nucleotide ribosomal RNA is filed under the name Dolichopoda hussoni. RNAcentral's name for it is "SSU rRNA". It matches the Rfam family "Eukaryotic small subunit ribosomal RNA", at positions 52 to 546 of the family's 1831-position model. Lineage: Eukaryota; Metazoa; Arthropoda; Insecta; Orthoptera; Rhaphidophoridae. The record is from RNAcentral. RNAcentral also lists the same sequence under 1 other name.
UGCAUGUCUCAGUGCAAGCCAAAUUAAGGUGAAACCGCGAAUGGCUCAUUAAAUCAGUUAUGGUUCCUUAGAUCGUACCCACGUUACUUGGAUAACUGUGGUAAUUCUAGAGCUAAUACAUGCAAACAGAGCUCUGACCAGAAAUGGAAAGAGCGCUUUUAUUAGAUCAAAACCAAUCGGUCGGCUCGUCCGGUCCGUUUGCCUUGGUGACUCUGAAUAACUUUGGGCUGAUCGCACGGUCUUAGUACCGGCGACGCAUCUUUCAAAUGUCUGCCUUAUCAACUUACGAUGGUAGGUUCUGCGCCUACCAUGGUUGUAACGGGUAACGGGGAAUCAGGGUUCGAUUCCGGAGAGGGAGCCUGAGAAACGGCUACCACAUCCAAGGAAGGCAGCAGGCGCGCAAAUUACCCACUCCCGGCACGGGGAGGUAGUGACGAAAAAUAACGAUACGGGACUCAUCCGAGGCCCCGUAAUCGGAAUGAGUACACUUUAAAUCCUUUAACGAGUAUCC